AUUAUUAUUACUAUUUACUGGCAUUUAAAAAGGAGCAUUGUACUCAUUUGGUUAGCACGCUACAUCUCUGUCUAUUAGGUCAAGUUUCUCAAAAAGCCAAGCGCUCUCUUUCCUCUCAAGCAAAAACCCAAAGCUAAAGAACUGGGCACAGACCCACCACCCUUCUGCCCACAAUUCACUCGCCGUCUUCCUCCUCCAUGCCUCCUCGCGGCCGUAGCUCUCCAUCACUUCUCCUCAACCUUCCAUUACUGAUCCUACUCUUAUCCAUCUUUGCAUUCCUUCUAUUCUUCUUCUUCUUGGCAAUCCCUUCUUUUUUCUCUUUUUCCUCUACUCAUACUAAACUUCGACCCAAUACUGUCAAGAAGAGUUGGGACUCUCUCAACGUAUUUCUUGUCUUGUUUGCGAUCAUCUGCGGGAUCUUUGCCAGAAGAAAUGACGAAGAAUCUGCUCCUAACCGCAACGGAAGAAAUGACGAAGAAUCUGCUCCUAACCGCAACGUUUUACAUGGGGUUCACGAUAAUAAAGAAGAUCGCCAUCCUGUUUCCAAUCAUUGGUUUGAUCAGUUAGCGGCUGCGACACCUGCUGCUGGUAUGCGGAGGCUAAAGAGGAGCAGUAGCUCCUACCCAGAUCUGAGGCAAGAGUCUUUUUGGGAAUAUGGCGAUGACCGGUCUCGGUUCUUUGACGAUUUUGAAAUAAGCAAGUAUCGGUCAUCGGCAUCUUCCGAGUACAAUAAUAUUUGUCAUGGCAGGCAGCGAAGUGUAUUUGAAGAAUCUAAUGUUAAGGAAAUUCCUGUUGAUCCUCCACCGCCACCAGGGGAAAGCAAUCACAAACAAAGGCGAACUUGUAAAACUGUUCCACGUAAAGAAAAGGUAGAGAAAGCGGAUGAAAAUGAUUAUGAAUUCCCAAGAAAAGAAAAUUCUCCACCAACGCCAUCUCCUCCACCACCACCACCCCCGCGCCCGCCACCACCUCCGCCUCCGCCAAUUAUCAAGGCGACUCGAUCAGAGCGUAAGUACUGGAGUAAAAAGACUAAUGCGACUAAGGAGUUAAAGAUGGCUUUGAUUUCAUUUUACCCUCAGAGUAAAAGAAAGAAGAAGCAGAAAUCAAACAGUUUAUACGAUGACACACUUCACUAUCAGCCUGAAUCACCAUCCUUUGGUAUAUCUCCACCUUCGCAACCUCCGCCUCCUCCUCCUCCUCCACCUCCAACACCACCACCACUUCCCGGAAUUUGUGAUUGCCCAUAGGAUUCUCCACGGGAGGAGGGAAAAGGCCGUUUAAAUUGCGAGCCUACAUAAACAUCGUCUCUUAUUCUCUUCAUACUUUCCCCUUCUCCUUGGUCUUUCAGAAAGAGUGAGCCAGAUCUCAGAAGAGAAGCAGUAACUAGGCUACAAUUGAUCGCAUAUAUUUGCA
RNAcentral lists this unclassified non-coding RNA (1413 nucleotides) under Hevea brasiliensis (rubber tree). Lineage: Eukaryota; Viridiplantae; Streptophyta; Magnoliopsida; Malpighiales; Euphorbiaceae. The record is from RNAcentral.